CCUACGUGUGGCAGCAGUGGGGAAUAUUGCGCAAUGGGCGAAAGCCUGACGCAGCGACGCCGCGUGAGGGAUGAAGGUCUUCGGAUCGUAAACCUCUGUCAGCAGGGAAGAACGGUCACUGUGCUAAUCAGCAGUGAAUUGACGGUACCUGCAAAGGAAGCACCGGAGAACUCCGUGCCAGCAGCCGCGGUAAUACGGAGGGUGCGAGCGUUAAUCGGAAUUACUGGGCGUAAGGCGCUCGUAGGCGGUAUGUCAAGUCAAGGGUGAAAUCCCCGCGCUCAACGUGGGAACUGCCUUUGAAACUGGCAAACUGGAGUGUGUGAGAGGAUAGUGGAAGUCCAGGUGUAGGAGUGAAAUCCGUAGAUAUCUGGAGGAACAUCAGUGGCGAAGGCGACUAUCUGGCACAUAACUGACGCUGAGGAGCGAAAGCGUGGGUAGCAAACAGGAUUAGAUACCCUGGUAGUC
This 465-nucleotide ribosomal RNA is filed under the name uncultured bacterium. RNAcentral describes it as "partial 16S ribosomal RNA". It matches the Rfam family "Bacterial small subunit ribosomal RNA", at positions 338 to 795 of the family's 1533-position model. The record is from RNAcentral.